GUAUGUUGGCUGGUCAAGAUGGAGUUUGUUGGUUGUGCAGAGCAGGAGGAGAAGGACUCAGUGUUGUGAGUAGCUGCCCGUAAGAAAUCACCAUGAAGAUUCAUGGGAAAUUACUGCUGAGACUUGCUUUAAGUUAAAUUACUGACUCCUCCCACGGCAUCCUUGUGGGUGAAAUUUGCUGGCCUUGUAACCUUUGCUUUUGAAGACUUCAAGGAAAAAACCUUCUAAGUUUUUCAGGAGAUGUGUUCUGUUAUUGUCAUGUGUUUUUGCAUGCUAGCAUACCUUGAACAAUAUACUUCAGUAAACAAUUACAUCUCCUGAAGCUAUCUUGCUCUAAAGAUCUGUAUGUCUCAAGUCUUAAUGGCAACCUUAACACAAAAUAUAGGCAUUCAGAUACUUAAACCACUUACUUGCUUGAAUAUGUAAUUGCCUUUCAUACAAAUAGAAGUAUAAAUAAUUAUUUCAUGUUUUAUAUAAUUAGAUCAAGUAAAUAAAAUUCCACUACAUUAGAAAUGAAACAUAUAGGCCAUUAAAAUAUGGAGAUUUUAUUAUAUGAAAUAUUUAUGUCUGUGUAUUUAUUCAAACAAUUAUGAUUCUCAUAAUAUCAAUUCUUUAUCUCAUUUUUUCAAGAGAUUUUUGAAGUGUGUCUAUAAAUUUACGUACAUGUUUAUAUGCACACACAUUGCAUGCCACCAGAAGGGCCUAGGAAAGGUAUAGAUUG
Molecule: long non-coding RNA, 721 nt
Organism: Passer domesticus (house sparrow)
Lineage: Eukaryota; Metazoa; Chordata; Aves; Passeriformes; Passeridae
Exons: 3
Source: RefSeq, a predicted model, not a curated record